UUACAGAGCUAGCAAUUCCUGUCCUUCACUAAUUUAUCCAUGCAAAAUUACAGAGUUAGCAAUUCCUGUCCAUAAAUACAUGUAGCUGCAUGCCUCAAUCCACCCCGCACAACCUUAUAAAAGAUGUCCCUAAAAUACAAGCAAAAUUAUAGAGCUACCUAUAUAUUCCUGUCCAUAAAAUACGUCUAUGCGUCCAUCCACAUACUUCAUGGAGAAAUACACUGCAAUAUCUGCCGAGCCAUUCACAACACUAGAGUGAACGCUGUCACUAUGCUUUCAGAAUUCCUUUGCCCUAGUACACUUCAAGCCUAGGUUCAGGGGUGCUCAGUUUUUUCACGAACUUUCAGAAACAUUGCAUGCCAAUGCAUUAGUAAAACUGAACGAAAAUGACUCUUUGUACAACUUUGCGGCUGGCCGGCGUUCAACCAUACAAGCAAACGGGCUCUCCGAACAGACAGCAUGAUCACGAUGGUCGAUGGACCAUAAGAAAAUGAGAGCAUAAGUUGCCAUCACGAAGAGCGACCUCUGACUAAGUAACGCCCAAGUAUUCAUCGUUCUCAUUUCUCAUGGAGCAACACACAGGCUACAUCCAGGACAUGAAGCAAGCGGGCAGAUCAAACCAUUUCCCCAAAGAUCCUUGUAAUUUACACCAUGAUGUUACAAUUUGAACCACCCAUUAUGUGUGCAGUUCACCGCAGUUGCCUUGAUAUAUGGCUACAACUCGCAGCUAGCGAGCGCCAACGCCUCACUUGCCGGGGACAAAGUUUGUGGCAAACGCCCAUGCGUUGUUGUUGACAGGGUCGGAGAGGUGGUCAGCGAGGUUCUCGAGUGGGCCCUUGCCGGUGACGAUGGCCUGCACGAAGAAGCCAAACAUAGAGAACAUGGCGAGGCGACCGUUCUUGACUUCCUUCACCUUGAGCUCCGCGAAUGCCUCUGGAUCGUCAGCCAAGCCCAGUGGGUCGAAGCUGCCCCCGGGGUAGAGUGGGUCGACUACCUCACCGAGUGGGCCGCCAGCAAUGCGGUACCCCUCAACAGCGCCCAUGAGCACGACUUGGCAUGCCCAGAUAGCAAGGAUGCUUUGUGCGUGCACGAGGCUGGGGUUGCCCAGGUAGUCGAGGCCACCCUCGCUGAAGAUCUGGGAACCGGCCUUGAACCAUACCGCCUCGCCGAACUUGACGCCGUUGCGUGCAAGAAGCUCGGGGAAGACGCAUCCAAGCGCACCGAGCAUGGCCCACCGGCAGUGGAUCACCUCGAGCUCCCGGUUCUUGGCAAAGGUCUCGGGGUCGGCCGAGAGCCCGGCGGUGUCCCAUCCGUAGUCGCCGGGGAACUCGCCGGUCAAGUAGCUCGGGGGCUCUCCGGAAAGCGGGCCGAGGUAGAGCACACGGUCGGCACCGUACCAUGGGCUGCCUGAUGAAACCGGCUUGGCCUUUGCAGCGGUCUUGCGCAUAGUGACACGGGCCUCACCAAAGAGAGCUGAUGAAGCCACGUUCUUCACCGACUUGCCGGCGAAGGUCGAGGAGAGGGACAUGGUGGUGGUCGCCAUUGCGCUGCUAAGGUGGGAGGUGUAUUGUGUGUUCUCCAAACAAUGAAAACUGAAGAGUGUGGAGAUGGUUUGAGACGUGUGGAGGAUGGAGCUAUUUAAGGAACUGGAGCUAACAUAGGGGAUUGUGCUCUGGUCUGUGUGUGUGUGUGUGUACCGACAAGAUAGAUAUAGACAGGGAAAAAAUCGUGAUCUUCGAUGCUAUUGGUGCAGCAGGGAUCUCGUCAUCCCUCAGGACGUGGCAACUUGAGACCCAGAGAAAGGAGAUAUGUUGUGGCUAGGCCUAGGGAUCUUGUUGGAGAAUGGAGACGUGUGAUUGGAUGAUGGAUCACAUGUUGAUUCUCACAUCAUCAGCUAGCUCACGGUCUGCAUGCAACGUGGCAGUAAACUUGUCUCUGAUGAAGUAGGCGGCGCAAGUGUGGUCAAGAAAGUGAUGGCAAUUUUAGGCCAUACGAUCAUUAUUUAUUUCUUUAUUACUUUCUUUGCUGGUGAACUAUACAUGAAAGCCUCAACAUCCGAGAAUACGCCAUGUAAAAAUAAAAGUUCGCCUCUUUUACUCCUACUAGAAUAAAGGCAUUACCAAAAUGAGCCACGUCUUGAAAAACAAGAACAUGUUAAGUGUGAUUUUUUUAACUAAAGAGUAAAUAACACCAAAGGCAAACACAAACUUGUCCACAGAGAGCAUCAAUUGCCACAGCGUUAUUUUGACAUCUUAGAGCAUCACUAACUGAAUUCUCAAAAACGCUUAACUCUUCAAAGGAUUUCAUGUUAAGGAGUUAAGUUGUAGCUAACCAAACCCUCAAACGGUUAACUCAAAAGUUUAAGAAGUUAAGCCUCGAAAGUUUCCCAAUUAGCGUAAAUUUGAGCGCCUCAAAGUUUCAACAAAAGAUUCUCGUUGCUCCUCUCGUGCCCGCGGUGCCUCCUCUUCCUGCCCCCGCCACUGCAGGCACCAGAUAGCCACUGCAGGCCCGGACACCCCAAUUGCAUCGCGAAUGGAACCGCCCACCACCUUUGCACCAUAGGCGACUCCUCCCGCCAGCGUUACACCACCAGCGUAAAUGAAUGCGGCAAGGAUAUGGCUCGGAACGAAGACCACCAUGCUCUUUGUCACGCCGUCCACGAAGGUCGGCCGCAAGGCUACGCCGUCACAAAGACAACUGGCCCCCCUUUAGUUGCUUCAGCCAACGGCAAGCGGAUGAAGAAGCCAGGCGGGCAAGGCCCUCGAUAAGGUGACAACAAAGAAGAGGGAUAAGUCAUCAACUUCGUAGUCAUUGGGGAAUCAGAGUGGCCGGGGAACGGUGGCGGUGGUUCCAUCCCAAUCGUCCUAUGCUACUACAAGAGGAGGUUGGGGCGGAGGGAGUCGUCGUGGGGUUCGGAUUGUUAGUGUCGUUGUCGCCUUAGAUGGGGGAGAGCAGAGAAGUCGCUCUCGAGCCAUCGCCUUUGCAUCCGCAUGGGAACCACGCAAACACUCAUCAUCCCUAGCUACCUAAUGGGUCGGUCCCUUAGGCCGAAUACUCCAAUCAACCAAUAUACUGUGUUUCAGCCGCCAGAGUAGCGUCUCCUUAGGAGAGCCAGCCCACGAAACACAAACGAGGCGCCUAGAUCAGAUAGACGGCCAGAUCAGAAAAAUGUACGGUCCAGGUGUCUGAAGGCGUGAGAGACUAGGGAUUAGGUUCAGUUUUACCGUCCUAAAUUCCAACUAAAAAUAAGAAUAAUUAGCCUCAAAAAGAGUUACUUUUGUGUACCAAAUUGUGUCAUCCACUACAUAGACAACAACUGAAAGGCCGUCUACUAGACAACCACAGGUACCGGCCCAUCAUGGCGAAGCCGACCGCAUGCAACCGCCAAGGCUAUAUAUCGCCCUUUACUGAUUUCUAAUAAGAAUCACCAAUGGGCGGGCGUUAGCAGGCCCGCCCAACAUUAUAGCGUGGCACACGGUUUUUCUUUCUUUUGGUUUUCCACUGUUUGUAGGUUGUUUUCCUCAAGUUUUCUAUAGCGCUUUUUUCGGUUUUUGGUUUCACUUUCAUUUUUUCUUUGGUUUUUUGGUCUCUUCAUCUGUUUUUUCUUUUACCUUUCUAUUUUUUUUCCUCGUUUUUUCCGUGUUACUUUCUUGGUUUUUUGUUUCUUUCUCUAGGUUUCAUUGAGUUUCUCUGACUUUUUUUUGCUUUUGCCUUCUUUUCAUUUUUAUUUUUUUCAACACAUGUCUACAUUUUUCAUAUCUCAUUGUAUAUUUUUCGUAUACAUUAGGAAUAUUGUUUUACACACGUUUAAAAUCUUUCCAGUGCAUAAUUAACAUUAUUUUAAUAUAUAUUUUGAUUUCUAGUUUUUUUCAUACACAUUGUACACUUUUUGUUUAUACAUCUAAAAUUGAUUUUAUAUAAAUGUUUCACAUUUUCAAAUACAUGUUUAAUAUUUUUACAAAAUCAUGUUUUGAACAUUUUUAGUACAUGUUAAAUAUUUGUUAUGUACACGUUGGAUUUUUUUAAUGAUAAAAAUUUUUCCUGAAUUAAGCAAACAUUUUUUUACAUUGUACAAACCUUCUUUUUUGAAAAUGUCACGAACACAUUUAUGAAACUUGUGAACAUUUUUCUAAAUGUAGCAUACAUUUUUUAUGACCAAUCAUUCUUUUUUAAUAAUACAAACAUUUUUUACAAUGUAUAAACAUUUUCUAUACACGUUUUUCAUUUUUCAAAUACAAGAUUAACCUUUUUAAAAAAUUAUGUAAAGUAUUUUCGUAAUAUAUAUAUAGCAAAAUGUGAUUAAAAACGGAAGUGGAAAAACGACAUGACAUUAGCAUGAUGAUGGGACGCGGUUACUGGGCCGGGCCAAUACCUGCUGUAGGCGAGCUGUGGACCGUGGUAGGACUCGCAGGGGUUUCCUUCGCCCUUCAGGCUUCAGAGAGACUAGUACGGUUCCUAGCCAAGUGUCAAAAAAAUAAUAUUAGGGUUCCUAGCCGCCGCCGUCCCGCCGCCAUUACUGCCGGCCGUCCGCCGCGGAGCGCCCAGCCGGCCGAAGAAGCCUCCGCUGCCCCGACGUCGGUACAGGAUCCCAGCAGCGCCUCCCUCCGUCGAGCAGCUGCUCCCACUAGCAGCGCCUCCCUCCCUGGAGCAGCCGACCCCGCCCAGCAGCGCCACCGCCCGGAGCUACGCGGGCGACCAGUCCAUAGGCAGGUAGCCACCACUCCUUCGUCGUCCCUCCUCCCCCCCUCUUCCCUCACCCACCCUCUCCUUCCUCUUGCAUCCUCUGUCUGUUCAAUUUUUGUUCCUGAUUUUUGUAUGGGAUGAGUAAUUGCUGUAGGUUGGAUAUUGUGCGAAUAUAAUGAUGACUAUUUCUUGAUGAGUGCUUGCCGCAAGAUUUUUCCAGUGCACGUUUGAGUUUACAUGUGGAUGGAUUUUGCUUGGAAUGUGUUUGUGAUAAUGCUUGUAGGGGCAAAUGUUUACAAAUUGUAGUUCGUUUUUUUUCAGGUGAGCAAAUGUUUUGGUUUGAACAUGAUAGCUGUGAAACUUCAGUGAAUGAUGAUAUAUGAAAAGGAAAGGAUUAAGUUGUUUUAUGUGCACGGUCUUGACCUGAAAUCAAAGCUUAGCAGUUACAUGCAAUUCGAGAGACUAGGGUGCCGGAAUGAGUCUAGAUUGGUUUUCGGUGGCUAUGGAGGCUUCUGGCGGCGGAACUCCCGAUAUAUUGUGCUCCCCGAAGUUUUUAGGGUAUAUGGGUAUAUAUAGGAGGAAGAAAUACGUCAGGAGGGCACGAGGGGCCCCCGAGGGUGGAGGGCGCGCCCAGGGGGGGAGGGGCGCCCCCUACCUCGUCCGUCCUCGUUGCUUCCCUUACGUACACCCCAAGUCUUCUGGAUUGAUUCCGUUCCAAAAAUAAGUUAUGUGAAGUUUCAGGUCAAUUGGACUUCGUUUGAUUUUCCUUUUCUGCGAUACUCUAAAAGAAGGAAAACAUAAACUGGCGCUGGGCUCUGGGUUAAUAGGUUAGUCCCAAUAAUAAUAUAAAAGUGCAUAAUAAAGCCCAUAAACAUCCAAAACAGAUAAUAUAAUAGCAUGGAGCAAUCAAAACUUAUAGAUACGUUGGAGACAUAUCACCUGGCGACGAGUUCUGGCUCUAAGGCCAGAGCGGAGGUUGGGGUCGUGAAUCCUUGGAAGAUCAAGUCUCCUCGGAUGUUAGCGACAUAAUCCAAGUUUCCAAAACUAAUCUGGUGACCUGGGGCAUAGCUGUCGAUCUGCUCUAGAUGGCCAAGCGAGUUGGCCCGCAACGCGAAGCCGCCGAACACAAAGAUCUGACCGGGGAGGAAAACCUCCCACAGGGCAGCAUUGUUGUAGAUUAUUUAUGGAGACAUCGAACCUUCUAGUGAUGACACAGCGGAACUCUCAAUGAAAGCACCAAUGUCGGUGUCAAAAUCGGCGGAUCUCUGGUAGGGGGUCCCAAACUAUGCGUCUACGGUUGAUGGUAACAGGAGACAGGGGACACGAUGUUUACCCCGGUUCGGGCCCUCUUUAUGGAGGUAAUACCCUACAUCCUUCUUAAUUGAUCUUGAUGAGUAUGAGGAUUACAAGAGUUGAUCUACCACGAGAUCGUUGUGGCUAAACCCUAGAAGUCUAGCCUGUAUGAUUAUGAUUAUGAUUGCCUCUACGGACUAAACCCUCCAGUUUAUAUAGACACCAGAGGGGCCUAGGGUUGUACAGAGUCAGUUUACAAAGGAAGGAAUCUACAUAUCCGAACGCCAAGCUUGCCAUCCACGCAAAGGAGAGUCCCAUCCGGACACGGAGAGAGGUCUUCUGUCUUGUAUCUUCAUAGCCUAUUAGUCCGGCCCAUGUUACAUAGUCCGGACGCCCGUGGACCCCUUAAUCCAGGACUCCCUCAGUCCUUGCUGCUCCUACUUGCAAUUAUUAUGAGAGAGGAACUACAUCUCCGCCUCUUUAUGUUUCCAACAUGAUAGAAUUGCAAGAAACUGUUUAUGCUAUGUAUUGGCCUUUACUUGAUUGCAUGAAUUGUUCUUGUAUGACAUGCCGAUGCAUAGGAAGAGAGUUAAACUUCAUCAUUGCAUGAUAUAUGUUGCUUUGUGCUCACUACUAAAUGCCAAAUCAUUGUUAAUUCAAAUUGUCUUUGAUAUACCUUGGGAUCCGGGUGGAUUCAUUACUUGAGCACUUUACGCAUAGCUUAAUGCCUUUAAAGAAAGCGCUGCUAGGGAGACAACCUGGAAGUUUUAAAGAGUCAUUUAUUUCUGUUGAGUGCUUUUAUAAAGUUUAAAAACAAAAAAGAUAUAGAGGGGAACUUAAAAACUUUUUCACAAAAGAGAAGCGAUUGGAAGUUAUGCAUUGAAGAAGUGAGGGUCGAUCUUGAACACUUGUGUUCAUGCUCAUGGAAACAAUGUAGAAUUUUUCAUGAAUAUUAUCACAAAAAUAAUUAUCCCCUUGUAAAAUUCUAUUGUAUUAUAAAAAUAAUGUGCCAAGAUUUGCCUUUAGGAUGUUUAGAUUGCUUGUUGGUUUGUGCGGUGCAAAACAGAAACUUCGGCUAUAGUGCUCGAUUUUACAUUUUUUUUACUGGAACAUCAAAUGGUCCUGAAACUUUUUGCACUAUCUUUCUAUACAAAUUGUUUAUUUUUCCUAAUUUUUUCAGAAUUGUUGGAGUACUAGAGGUAUGGUGAAUGUUCAGAUUACUACAUAAUGUCCUAUUUAAGACAGAUUCUGUUUUUGAUGCAUUGUUUUGCUCGUUUUGAUGGAACUAUCGAUUUUUAUCGGUAGUAUAAGCUAUGGAAAAGUUAUAUUACAGUAGCUACAAUGCAAAAACAAAUAUGAAUUGGUUUGCAACAGUACUUAGAGUAGUGAUUUGCUUUAUUAUACUAACGGAUCUUACUGAGUUUUCUGUUGAGUUUUGUAUGGAUGAAGUGAUCAAAGAUCGAGGAGUUCUCGAUAUGAGGAGAAGGAGGGGAGGCAAGAGCUCAAGCUUGGGGAUUCCCAAGGAACCCCAAGUAAAUAUUCAAGGAUACUCGAGCGUCUAAGCUUGGGGAUGCCCUGGAAGGCAUCCCAUCUUUCUUCAACAAGUAUCGGUAUGUUUUCGGUUUCGUUUCGUUCACGUGAUAUGUUCAAAUCUUGGCGCGUCUUUUGCUUUUAGUUUUCAUUUUUCUUUUGUGCACCAUGCUGGUAUGAGAUAGUCCAUGGUUGAUUUAUAGAAUGCUCAUUUCACUUCACUUAUAUCUUUUGAGUAUGGCUUUAUAGAAUGCUUCAUGUGCUUCACUUAUACCAUUUGAAGUUUGGAUUGCAUGUUUCUCUUCACAUAGAAAACCGUUAUUUGAAGAAUGCUCUUUUGCUUCACUUAUAUUUAUUAGAGCAUGGUCUUUUGUAGAAAGAAUUAAACUCUCAUGCUUCACUUAGAUCUAUUUAGAGAAUCAACAGGAAUUGGUCAAUUGCAUGGUUAGUCAUAAAAUCCUACAUAAAACUUAUGGAUCACUGAAUAUGAUAUGUUUGAUUCCUUGCAAUAGUUUUGUGAUAUAGAGAUGAUAAUGUGUGGGAGGUACUAGUAAAUGGUUGUGGUUAGUAGGAAUAUUGGUUUUAAGGUUUGUGAUUCCCGAAGCAUGCACGUAUAGUCUCUCGUUAUGCUAUGAAGUUGGAUCAUGAUUUAUUAUUGAUUCUCUUCCUUAUGAGUGGCGGUCGGGGACGAGCGAUGGUCUUUUCCUACCAAUCUAUCCCCCUAGGGGCAUGCAUAGUAGUAUUUUUCUUCGAGGGCUAAUAAACUUUUGCAAUAAGUAUAUGAAUUCUUUAUGACUAAUGUGAGUCCAUGGAUUAUACGCACUCUUACCUUUUCGCAAUUUGCUAGCAUCUACGGUAUCAUGCAUUGCCCUUUCUCACAUCGAGAGUCGGUGCAAACUUUGCCGGUGCAUCCAAACCCCGUGAUAUGAUAUGCUCUAUCACACACAAGCCUUAUUAUAUCUUCCUCAAAACAAGGACCAUACCUACCUAUUAUGGCUUUUCCAUGGCCAUUCCGAGAUAUAUUGCCAUGCAACUUCCACCACUUCCGUUUGAUGACUUGAGCAUUCAUUGUCAUAUUGCUUUGCAUGAUCAUAUAGAUGACAUAGUAGUUAUGGCUCAGCCACCGUUCAUCAUUUUUCAUACAUGUUACGCUAGAUCAUUGCACAUCCUGGUUCAUUGCCAGAGGCAUUCAUAUAGAGUCAUACUUUGUCAUAGGUAUCGAGUUGUAAUUUUUAUUUUCUUUUGAGUUAUAAGUAAAUAUAAGUGUGAUGAUCAUCAUUAUUCAUUUUUAGAGCAGUGCCCUAGUGAGGAAAGGAUGAUGGAGACUAUGAUUCCCCCACAAGUCGAGAUGAGACUCCGAACAAUGAGAGAGAAAAAAGAAAAAAGAAAAAAAGAAAAAAAGAAAAAUAAAAAAUAAACAAAGAGAGAAGGGGCAUUGUUAGUAUCUUUACCAUACUUGUGCUUCAAAGUAGCACCAUGUUUUUCAUUUGGAGAGUCUCCUAUGUUGUCACUUUCAUAUACAAGUGAGAAUAUUUCAUUAUAGGAUUAGAUGCACACCCACUUAGUUUUCAUAUUGAGCUUUCAUACACUUAUAGCUCUUAGUGCAUUUGUUGCAUGGCAAUCCCUACUCCUCAUGUUGACAUCGAUUGAUGGGCAUCUCCAUAGCCCGUUGGUUAGCCGCGUCGAUGUGAGACUUUCUUACCUUUUGUCUUCUUUAUAUUUACCCCUAUCAUCAUACUCUAUUCCACCUAUAGUGCUAUAUCCAUGGCUUGCGCUCAUGUAUUGUGUGAGGGUUGAAAAAUUUGAAGCGCGUUAAAAGGUAUGAACUAAUUGCUCGGCUUGUCAUCAGGGUUGUGCAUGAUAAAUACUUUGUGUUAAGAAGAUAGAGCAUGACAAGGCUAUAUGAUUUUGUAGGGAUAACUUUCUUUAGCGUUGAUAUUUUGAAAGACAUGAUUGUUUAUUGGGAUGCCUGAGUAUUGAUGUCUUUAUGUCAAAUUAUAGACUAUUGCUUUGAAUCACUUAUGUCUUAAUAUUCAUGCCAUGACUAGACAUAUGAUGAAGUUUAUGCUAGGUAGCAUUCCACAUCAAAAAUUAUCUUUUUUAUCAUUUACCUGCUCGAGGACGAGCAGGAAUUAAACUUGGGAUGCUGAUACAUCUCCGUCGUAUCUUUAAUAUUUUAUUGUUUCAUGCCAAUAUUAUACAACUUUUACAUACUUUUGGCAACUUUUUAUAUGAUUUAUUGGACUAACCUAUUGAUCCAGUGCCAAGUGCUAGUUCCUGUUUUCUGCAUGUUUUUUGUAUCGCAAAGUAUCCAUAUCAAACGAAGUCCAAAUGCAACAGAAUUUUACAGAGAAUUGUUUUGGAAUAUAUGUGAUUUUUGGGAGUUGGAAUCACUGCAAACGGAGGCCCACACAGCCCACAAGACACCAGGGUGCGCCAGAGGCCCCUGGCGCACGGUGGUGGGUUGUGCCCACCUCAUAUGUCGGUUGGAUCUCUACUUUGGGCGCAAGGAAGCUUAUAUCCGGAAAAAAUCGUGUUAAAAUCUCAGCGCAAUCGAAGUUACAGAUCUCCGGGAAUAUAAGAAACGGUUUUCGGCCAGAUCUGGCGAACGCGAAACAGAAGAGAACAGAGAGGGAGACCCAGUCUUGGAGGGGCUCCCGCCCCUCCGCCGCCAUGGAGACCAAGGACCAGAGCGGAAACCCUUCUCCCACCUAGGGAGGAGGCCAAGGAAGAAGAAGAAGGAGGGGGCUCUGUCCCCCUCGCUUCCAGUGCCACCGGGGCAAUGAUCGAGACGGCGAUCUACACCAACAAUCUUGCUACCAUCAACACCAACUCUCUCCCCCUCUAUGCACCGGUGUAACACCUCUUCUCCCCGCUGUAAUCUCUACUUAAACAUGGUGCUCAACUCCACAUAUUAUUUCCCAAUGAUCUAUGGUUAUCCUAUGAUGUUUGAGUAGAUCCGUUUUGUCCUGUGGGUUAAUCGUGAUCUUGGUUGGUAUGAUUGUAUAUUUUAUUUAUGGUGUUAUCCUACUAUGCUCUCUGUCUCGCACAAACAUGAGGGGACCCCGCUAUAGGGUGUUGCAAUAUGUUCAUGGUUUGCUUACGGUGGGUUGCGAGAGUGACAGAAACUUAAACCCGAGUAGGUGGGGUAUGACGUAUGGGAAUAAAGAGGACUUGAUACUUAAUGCUAUGGUUGGGUUUCACAACCUUAAUGAUCUUUAGUAGUUGCGGAUGCUUGCUAGAGUUCCAAUCAUAAGUGUAUAUGAUCCAAGUAGAGAAAGUAUGUUAGCUCAUGCCUCUCCCUCAUGUAAAAUUGCAAGAAUGAUUAUCGGUACUUGUUGUCGAUUGCCUAGGGACAAAUAACUUUCUUGUUGACAAAAGCUCUCUACUAAAACUAACUUAGUCAUGUCUUUAUCUAAACAGCCCCUAGAUUUUAUUUGCGUGCUCUUUAUUAUCUUGCAAACCUAUCCUAUCACACCUACAAAGUACUUCUAGUUUCAUACUUGUUCUACGUAAAGCGAACGUCAAGCGUGCAUAGAGUUGUAUCGGUGGUAGAUAGAAGUUGAGGGAAUAUUUGUUCUACCUUUAGCUCCUCGUUGGGUUUGACACUCUUAUUUAUCGAAAAAGGCUACAAACGAUCCCCUAUACUUGUGGGUUAUCACUAGCCACCGUGCUUCACUGAUGUACUCGGCGGGAAAUGUGGUCUUUCGUGAUUUGACGACUCAUUUACUUGCUUCGGCGCUAUAACCGAGGAAGACCCAAAAAACACGCGGUAGGGCGUCCCAUGUCUCGGCAAGGAAGAAUAUAUACGUGCACCACCCGGGAGGACCCCGAAACCGCGCUAUAGGGCAUGCCACGUCUCGGCACGGAGGGAAAAUGUGCGUGUAAAAAUAUACUGUAUCAGACAUAGUAACUAUGGUUCGACCUUGGGACCCAGCCAGUCGGUCGAAAACACCCCACUAGCCACAUAGCUUCAUCAUGCUAACGUGGCACGGAGGAUAGGUGUGGUUAGCUCCGUCUCGACCAGCCACAACGUCUCUUGUUCUAGGCGAUUCUUCUAUUUUCCAAGCUUUUAUUUAGUUAUAAUAACACCAUGACAAGCUGGCGCCGCUCUUCGUUUGUGCCUGUGCGUCUAAAGGUUAGACGAUGGAGAGGAGAGAGAGAGAGGUCGUAGACCUGGGACCCACCAGUAAGUGAGUCAACGGUCAUGCACGUGUUGACGAGGCACUCCCUCUACUCUACUCAAUGUAAUACUGUAUAAAAUCAAAUUAUGGGACAAAGCCAACAACCGUUGUCGUUUCAGGCUAUCGACUUACGCUUUACAAUCCAGGUUGCCAAUUCGAAUCUCGUCUUUCAAAUUUGUUCGUUUUAGGUCCAAAUUUGAUCAAUGACAAGUGGGACCCCAGUGUGUUGUUCCGAUAUUUCAAUGUAGGAUGGUUUUUUUUUUGAACAAACACUUUGCGCGUUAGACAAGUAACGGCACGAGUUACACAUACUUUGCAAGUUUACGAACAAAAAUGAUAGCGGCAUAGAAUAUCACAUCCACCCCGCAGCUUAGAUGCUAUGGUGAUACGAGUUUUUACAUCGUUGGAACUAAGAUCCAAUGGCUUGGGAGUAGUCUUUGUAAUUAUGCGCAAUUUCCAAACUCUCCAAGGGUUUUUUUGCAAAUAAAAUAUUCAGGCCUCGUGUGUGCCAUGCAUCUUGGAUCCAACGGCUCCCCGUUGCUCAUAUUAGGUGCUCCUCGUAACUUAAUUAGCCGCUACAGUGAUACGAGCAUCUAGGUCGUAUGAUCUGUGAUCAGAUGCCACAUGCGUAGUACUUGUACUUUCUGUGCAAUUCCCAAACUCUCUCUGGCGUAUAUUACAAAAACAUUCAAACCUCCUACUGUUAGCCGUUAGAUCUCCGUGAACUCGUAUCACCAUAGAAUCUACGGUGCGGGAGCACCUCAUAUUCUCCCGUGCGAGAAAACAUCAGGUGCUCUCGCAGCUUGGAUGCUACGGUGAUACGAGCUUCGAGGUCGUUUGAUCUGAGAUCCAAUGGCAUCUGAGCAGUCUUUAUGCUUGUAAGCAGUGGUCGAACUCUUUGAGGGCUUUUCUGCAAAAGAAACAUUCGAACCACCGAGGAGUUGUUGGGUCACAAAUCCAACGGCUCUGAAGAGCUUGUAUCACCAAAGCAUCUAAGGUGUGGUAGCACAUGAUAUUCUUACAUACAGGAGAAUAUGAUUUCCUCCUUCAUCUUAGAUGCUACGAUGAUACAAACUUCGAGGUCGUUGGAUAUGGGAUCCAAGGGCAUCUGAGUAGUUUUUGUACAAAUUGUGUGCAAUUCUCAAACUCAUUAAGGUUUCCUGUAAAAAUAUUAAGACAUCCUGUGAGAUGCUAUGAGAAGUUGCACAAAUGAAGAGCCAAUGUAUUUUGGAACAAAGACCUGUCACAUUAAGGCAAACGCUUUCACUGUUGAAACCGUGGGCGUUUACAUGCCGCCACAAGUCCAGCUUCUCAUCGGCAGGUGUCGUCCGAGCAAGCGUGUGAGUCGACGGGAGGCGUGCAAGCAGACCGUUACGCUGGCUGACAGGGAGGCGUGCAAGCAGACCGCUGCGCAGGCUCACCGGGAGGCGAGCCCUUUGACCAGGCUCCGCCGCCCACCUUCGUCCCAACUGUUUCCACUUUUAAUGUUGCUGGUGCCGAAGUUUAAAAUCAACCCAACACUACCAGGUAUCGCUACAAUCUUCUCCCUUCCUCUCCGAUUCUCCUGUCGUCUACCUCCAACCAGCCUGACCUAACCAUAUGCCAUGCCGCAUCACGAUGGUCUGCCCUAAGUCUUCCAGUUUGCUGAGGAAGACACCCAGCCGGAGUCUCAAGAACAUAAGGCACUUUGGGACGAGCUUGAACCAGCCUUGCGGGAAGACGCCGUGCCUGUCCCCGCUCCCGUUCCGGCUCCCGUCGCCCCGACUGCUCCAGCGCCAAUCCCCGUGGCAUUGAUGGGCUGGGAGCCGCACAUUGUCGCCGAUCUUGAUGCCACGGAGUUCCACGAGGUCCCCACCGACUUUCACAUGCCCGUGCACCUACCAACGCAUGCGCCUGCGUGCACUGAUGUGCGCACCUGUGCCGGUGUCCGUGCACACGAAUGUCUCCACCGCGCCAUUGCCAGCGCCUGUCCCUGAGCGGGUGCCAGUGCCCCCCUCAGCGGCAUGGAUGGCCACCGUCGACCGCUUCCUUGCACCAACGCCAGUCGCCUCCUCCUGCCAGUUGACUCGCUCCUAGAGACCGAAGUCCAGAACAUUGUGGCCUUCCUUGAAGCUAGGGCCAAUGUUCAGGAGUACGCCAACAAUGGCGCAAGACGCUGCCGUCGCCGUCGGUCAGUGGCCCGACGAUACACAAAGCACGACAGAGGAGCUGCUUCCCACCGCAAGACGCCGCCGCCGCCGCCGUGUAAUCUAAAUUUGCCGUGAAAAACAUUCUGAUUGCCACGCUUAAAAUCUGAACGUUUAUCAUUUCCGUUUAUUUUAGAUCGAUCGUCGUAUGAAUAUAAAGUUGGAGUCAGACUGAAUGAAAUCUAUGGUUUGAUCGAUUGAAUGUUCUGCUAGAGCCGUAUCAAAUUAAAUAUAAAAUGUCAUCAAGCCACAUGUAUUCCUUCUCAUCCAAUGACCUAGACUGCUUCACGAGCGCUCAACACGUUUAGCGUGCAGUUAAUUUCACGCUGAAAAUAGUGCUAAUCACAUAAUAACACGCAAAUAAUAUCCUACUUAAUAUCCGCAUGCACGUAAUAUACUUCCAAAUUAACGUGCAUUGCAUGUACACAUUGACUAGUACUACUAGUACGUGAAACUGGUGCCGUAACUUGUGAACGCGUUCAAAUAUGGUCAACGGCAACAUCGCCCGCGAGUUCUUCGUGUUUGCUCGUGCGUCUAAACACGGAAAGGGAGGAGAGAGAGCACACAUGGAACCCACCAAUAAAUGAAGGCAAAUAGUACAUGCUAAUGAGCCGGUCCCACUAAUGUACUAAAAAUAAUAUUACAUGUUAUCCAUUAAAUAGGCCGUGGUAAUAUAAAAACAUUAUAUGAACAAAGGGGGUACAACAAACAUUGUUGUUCUACGUAUGUUGCCUAUUGACGUGCGGCUUGAAGGCCCUGGUCGCAUGUUCGAUCCUCGUCCUUUAUUUUUUAAUUUGUAUAUGGGUCCAAAUUUGUUUGAUGACAGGUGGGCCCCUUUGUGUGUAGUUUGUAGCACUUUACUUUGUGGGUCGAAAUUUUUUCCAUUCCAGGUGGACUAUCAGUGUAUAGUUUUGUAGCUUAUUUAUAAUAAUUAAAGAGAACAACAGAGUUUUUUGCAAUAAUACCAUGAUGCGACGUUGAAGGCGAGAAAGGACGUGUGAGAGAGCAAUGACCGAGCCAGAGGGAAAUCAAUUGGGGGAGGUGCGGGGGUUGCAACAGUGUUUGGAGUAGUUGUGGGACGAAUGAUACGAAAAUAUAAUCUAAACCCACCGGAAUAAAUGCAUACACAAAUUAAUUCAAGGUUGGAGUCCCCCUCGCAAUGUAAAUAGCUCCGGCUUUGCGAGUUGAGGUAGCUUCAAAUGUGUGGAAGAUACGGCGUGAGAAAGUGAGGUCAAUCGAGAGACAUAUAGACAGAGAGACAAAGUGAGUGUGGUCCGACAUUCAUUGAAAAGAUAUAUAUGAUUUGGAGAGAUAUUGUCCGAUUGAGAUUUUGGGAAGGAUGAGGGCUGUAAGAUAGAGCUUGAUAGAUGAUCCAGUCACAGACAUGUAGAUAUAUUUUGUGCGUGGGAGGAAGUAAGGUCAAUCGAUUACAUAUAUAAAGGGGGAGAGAUUGAGCGAGUGUGGGUCGUCAUGCGAUCGAAAGAGUGAGACGGGUUGGAGAGAGUGACCUAGAUAGACAAUGUGCGUGAGAGAGUAUACAAUAUGAAUAUGUCGAAUUGGGCUCAAACAUGGAGAUAUAUCGUUUGUGUCCGAGAAAGAGCGAGGUCAAUCGAGACAUACACACACACACACACACACAGAGAGAGAGAGAGAGAGAGAGAGAGAGAGAUUGAGCGAGCGUGGCCCGCCAUGAGGUCGAAAGAGUGGGAGCGGCUUGGAUGUACUGACCUAGAUGGACAAUCUGCGUGAAAGAGUAUAGAGUGUGUCGAUCAAGGCCCGAACAGGGAGAUAUAUCAUUUGCGUGUCAAAGAAAAAGAGGGGUCCGAAUUGGACUUGGAGUCCUAGUAGGAAUCCUCGCCUUGGGGGCCAAGGCGCGCCUUGGCCGGCCUCCUCUCCCCUCCCUCCUUUAUAUACAUGGGAGUGGUGCGCCUCCUAGACACACAAUUGUUCCAAGCCGUGUGUGACACUUCCCUCCACCGUUUACUUCUCCGGUCAUAUUGUCAUAGUGCUUAGGCGAAGCCCUGCGCGGAUCACUUCAUCAUCAUCGCCGUCGUGCUGACGAAACUCUCCCUCGACACUUUGCUGGAUCAAGAGUUCGAGGGACGUUAUUGAGUUGAACGUGUGCAGAACUUGAAGGUAUCAUACGUUUGGUACUUGAUCGAUUGAAUCGAGAAGACGUUCGACUACAUCAACCGCGUUAAACUAACACUUUUGCUUUGGUAUACAAGGAUACAUGGACACACUCUUUCCUUUUUCGUUGCUAUGCAUCUCCUACAUAGAUCUUGCGUGAUCAUACGCAAUUUUUUGAAAUUACAUGCUACGUUCCCUAGCAAAAACUUAGUGAAGUAAAUAUAUUCCACUAAAGUUUACUCCUCUAUUUUUAAGGAUCGGUUAGAAAUUCCCUAAGCACACUUGGCCAGCACAUUUUUUGUAACGUGGUGGUGGGGAGAGCGGGUGCCCGCCCGGGGAAGAGGAGAGGUUGUCGUAGACGCAGCCAGGGCGGCUGGGCGACCGCACUGGGCUACGGCUGCUGUUGUGAGAGAAGAGAGGGGGAACACUUUCUCUCAUAUGACUGAUCCUUCCCAAAUCAUCAAACAACUGCUACAUCGUCGAUUUGUUUUUCCAUCACACAGACUGACUAGUCUGAUGGAGGGGAUCAGUAAUCUGACCCCUAGUGUUUCGAUGAAGCAUGCGCAUUUAGUCACAAAUAUGCCUUUUUUUCAAUAGAAAAUUUUAAUAUAUUCAUCAAUCAUGGCAGCACAGAGAACACUGUAGAUAAUAGAAAUUGCAUCCGGGUCCAUGGACCAUCUAACGACGACUACAAGCACUGAAGCGAGCCAAAGGUGCACCGCCAUCAUCGAUCCACCUUCAUUGGAGUCAGGCAAACCUUAUUGUAGUAGGCAGUCGGGAAGUCAUCAUGGUAAGGCCUCAAAGGACCAGUGUACCAGAGCAGCAACCAUCGCCGAUGAAGAGAGUUGUAGAGCGGAAAGAUCAAACCUGUAACCACAUAAACGAACAAAAACAUGAUCCAAAUAGAUCCAUCAAAGACCAUUACCGACUAAAUUUCGUGAGAUCCGAUGAAGGCACACCUCUACAUGUCCUUUGAUAACGCUAUUCACACCAUCGAGGCGGGAAUAGGACGUAGUAGACAUUGUUUCUACUGAGAAACAUCGUCACUGUCACAUAGCCCNNNNNNNNNNNNNNNNNNNNNNNNNNNNNNNNNNNNNNNNNNNNNNNNNNNNNNNNNNNNNNNNNNNNNNNNNNNNNNNNNNNNNNNNNNNNNNNNNNNNNNNNNNNNNNNNNNNNNNNNNNNNNNNNNNNNNNNNNNNNNNNNNNNNNNNNNNNNNNNNNNNNNNNNNNNNNNNNNNNNNNNNNNNNNNNNNNNNNNNNNNNNNNNNNNNNNNNNNNNNNNNNNNNNNNNNNNNNNNNNNNNNNNNNNNNNNNNNNNNNNNNNNNNNNNNNNNNNNNNNNNNNNNNNNNNNNNNNNNNNNNNNNNNNNNNNNNNNNNNNNNNNNNNNNNNNNNNNNNNNNNNNNNNNNNNNNNNNNNNNNNNNNNNNNNNNNNNNNNNNNNNNNNNNNNNNNNNNNNNNNNNNNNNNNNNNNNAUGGCCCAAAGGCCAACGGAGGUGGGCUGGAUCGACGGCAGCGCUGGCGGGAGAAGGAGACUUUUGUUAUGGAGGAAAGACUCACGCUCAGUCACAAAUAUGCUUUUCUUUUACCACAUCAUAAACUAUGUCCAGGGAACCGACCAAUCUUAAUUCACGGCAACUAUCAUGUGAUCCGUAGCAAAGCACGAGUUUUGUGUUAAUUUACAAUAAUAUACAUGUAGUACUCUCGCAGUGUCACUAGAAUAGGAGAAGUGGCGCGCAACGACACACUUAGCAGGUUUUGCGAAACGAGCAGCAUCUAUAAGACGUUAUUUGACAUUGUCAUAGACUCUGAAAACGUCUUAUAAAAAUUAUACUCUUUCCAUAACUUAAUAUAAGACGAUUUUUUGACACUGUCAUAAACUCCGAAAACGUCCUAUAAAAUAUUAUAGAGAUGCUAGUAUUUUAUAAAUAAGCGGCAUGUAUAUAAAAAUAUAUUUAUUUUCUCCCUUUGCAAUACACGGCGUAUGUGCCAGUUGAAACUAGACGCCAACACAAUGUUCACCACUUAACACUGGGGAGCAAACAUUGGGCUAUUCUUUUUCUAGUAACUGGAAACAGAAUGGGUGGUUGUAAUAUAUCUAGGGAAAACCUUCAUGGGACUUUAUUGAUUGGCAGAUCAACUUACAUCGUCCACACAUUCAAAGUAAACUUAGGUGACAUACAGGGGACAAGGGUAUGUGUCGCUCUAUUACUUUUCCUAGGACAAUGAUCAAAAGAGAUGGAGCAAAACCUGUGUGCAAGGUUAGUGCAUUCCUUGUCAAUUCAUGUUGUCGGGCUGAUGGAAUUUACCCCAUUCUUCAUGAUGUCGAGUACCUCCACACAGUCAUGGUUUGACAAAGAUCUUGUUACACCCAGUGGGCUGGCGAGAAUUAGUACAUCCCAGAGUGCAUGCGCUUCAAUGUUUAGUGCAUCUGCAACACAUGUAACACGACAGCUUUCAGGAUGUAAAUCUAAGGUCUGGCCUUAAUUGGUUGUGCCUGACAGUGGCCUUAUUGAAAGCAUUGUUUUGAGAGUGUGUAUUUUAUUCAGGAUGUAAACCUAAGAUCUAUGAUCGGGUGACGACGGCGCUUGUGCACUGUUUCCUUCUUGAAGGCGUCGCUUUUGGAGGAUUUGAACUUCAGUGUUGUCAUGGUGGGGGUUCGUGCUGCAGUUAUAAGGAUAUUUUGUUGUUGCAGAGACUAGGCGUAAUUGGUAUCUCUGCGAUAUUAAUAUAUUUUCUGUCAGAAAAAAUAUAACACGACAACAACUAGCAAAGAUGAACACACCAUGCUUGUCCCAAAUAACAGAACUAGUGGCACCUGAGCUCUCAUCAGCAAAGAAGGUUGUGUCCAUAUUCAGUUUAACAAAACCUUCCCUUGGAUCUUCCCAACCAUGGCAUCGGAUCACAAGGCUUGGCGUCGACGCUAAUAGUAAUUUGGUGUUGGCGCCGCAACACUUGGGCUCAUCAGGCGAGCAUUUGUAUACUCUCCUCAUGAACAACAUGUAUCCGCUCCCAUCACGCAUACCAUAAUGUUGUAACAAACAAUUCUUUCACUCAACUUGGAAGAUGAUCGCCAUCUUAUAUUAUUGCGUUAAAAACUUAUACUUGCUUACAGAACCAAAGAUCUGAUGAGGGAAACCUCUUCCGCUUAAUUAAUUGACGAGGCAAAUAUUUUGUCUAGUUUCAAAAAGAGAACUGAAGAUCCCACUCGAUCACCACAUAGGCUUUAGAAAUCUCAGUGUGGAGAUCGAGGUUUCCCCGGACUUUCUUCGCCUUGCGACACCAAAAGAAUGCAUCUAGGGUAUCUUCACAAUGCAUUCUGCAUGGCAUAAACUGCUCGGGAUAAUAUGUAUGUUGCCUAGAACAAAAUUGAAUGUCACAGUGCCACAUAAAAGUGUGCAAACAAAAGAUUUCAAGUCUAGAGACUUAGGGCCUCGAUUCGCAGGAUUCUUAAAACAUAGGAAUAGGAAAAUUAUAGGAUUGUAGUGGCAUGCCCACUUGAAUCCUAUAUGAAUAGCAAGGAGUGUUUAAUGCCAUAGAAAAAAACAAAGGAAUUGUAAAAGGAGGUCAGAGUGGAUAUUAGAUUUCCUAUGAAAUGUAGUACAAGAUUUCAUAGGGAAAAAAUCCUAUGGGAUCCAAUCAUGUGAACCGAGGGACCAACAUAGGAAAAAUUCCUAAGAAUUUAAAUCCUCCAAAAAUUCUAUGGAAUUUCUUUGAAUCAAAGGGCCCUUAAGGUUUCUGCGAAGGUGUGGAUAGUUGUAAAUUGGCCAUGUUAUUUUUAGCAUUUAAAUUCAACUCAGUAAGUUAUCCAAUGAUCAAUCAAAAGAGAGUAAAUUGCAUAGGAACAUUUCAUGUUAAACCAACAGGCAACUAGAGUGGUCAAAAUACAACAAAAUAAAAACACAUAUGACAUGGUAAGCGCAACAAUGAAGAGAUCAAUCGAUCAUGUGAUGUCACCAUUGCAUGUGUUGCAUUAUGGAUUUUUGGGGUUUCGUAUUAAUAGACCUAACAUACUUAAAAUAAUAUUUUUGUAACAUUCAAAAUAUUUUUACACCAAAUCGAAAACAAUUCAAAUACUUUGAAAACAUAAAAAAAAAACAAGUAUAAAUUUUUUCAAAGACUUAAGAAAUUAAAGAUGCGAAAUCAAGUGUCACGAUUUCCUUCCUUGCGAUAGGNNNNNNNNNNNNNNNNNNNNNNNNNNNNNNNNNNNNNNNNNNNNNNNNNNNNNNNNNNNNNNNNNNNNNNNNNNNNNNNNNNNNNNNNNNNNNNNNNNNNNNNNNNNNNNNNNNNNNNNNNNNNNNNNNNNNNNNNNNNNNNNNNNNNNNNNNNNNNNNNNNNNNNNNNNNNNNNNNNNNNNNNNNNNNNNNNNNNNNNNNNNNNNNNNNNNNNNNNNNNNNNUAUAUAGGAUUGGAGGGAGUAGUAUUCCAAUGAAAUUUCAUCUUUUCCAACAUUUUUUCAGUGGUCACAUCAACUUAACAAAUGUUCAAUGAUACUUCACAUUUUAUUUUAACUAUUUCAUUCAUAUUACAAUUUUUAAUGAAGCAUAUUUUUUUAAAGUAAACAAUGAAAUAUUCGAUACCUAUAUGAAAUGUUUAUGAAUUUGUAUAUGACUGAAAUAAUUGAACUUUGUGUGAAAUAUCUCUAAACUGAUCCUGAAGUUGAUUCAAAUAUGACUGGAAUAAUUGAAAUAUCUGUGAUAUCUAUAAAUGAUUUUGUAACAAAAAGAGUUUUAAAUGCAGGAAACUAAUUAAAUUUGAUUGAAAUAUGACUAGAAUAAUUGAAAUUUGUGCAAAACCUUGUGAUAUGUUUAUGAUACUGAUUGAAAUAAUUGCAUUUCCUGUGGUUGUCCGUGCAUAUUUUAAAACAAUGAUAUCUCACUGAUAUAACUCAGAAAAAUGAAUAGAAUUGAUUUCUUAAGAAUGUGCUGAAGUAAAUGCCAAUUCUGAUCAAAAUAUAACACACACAAAAUAUUUGUAGAUGUUUUACUGGAAAAGAUGAAAUAUUUGUGAAAUUGACUUGAAAUAUGCAAGAUUGGUAUACUGGAAUAUUGUCCAACGUCUGCAAGUAUUAAGUAAUAAACCAGAGCAUUGCAGAGAAUGAUGCUAAUCCAUCAGAGCACGAGGGGUGCAUUGUCAUUGUACCGAUGCACUCCACCAUCCUUUGAACCACGUCCUUGUCGCAUACGUCAUUUAAUUAGGACAUUAAGGAACAUACUUAAAAAAUAACGAUUACGAAUGUAGACGCACACAACGACACAACGCCUACUGAAAAAUGGGUUGGAGUUGUGGAGUUUCAAGAUUGACGAAGUCACCACGGGCACUCCACUAUCGACAGAAAUGUCACCUCCUACUGAAACAAUAGUUUGCAUUAAUGAGACACCAAAGCAUCAGCUGAGAUUUGAUUGCUGGUGGGCUAGGGAUACCACCAGCCUCCUAACCAUAUAUCCACUGGUUGGUUCUCUAAAGAAAGUGUGUUGAAACUAUUUAAAAUCGAGGAUAUAAUUCAUUUCCACUACACAGUAAUAGUCUGUUGUGAGGUCCGAAGUAGGCGCCGAUCACCGCUUUACUAGUUCAAGAUAUCGUGAAGUGUAGAAACCCUACAUGCUAAUUAUUGUAGGUACUCCCUCCGUUCCAAAAUUAUUGUAGUGGUUUUGGUUUAAAAUUUGAACUAAAACCACGACAAUAGUUUUGGAACAGAGGGAGUAAUAUUCAUCUGUCUAACUGUUCCUAACUUGAGUUGCCAUAUAAGCACCCAAGGUUCACUUACAGUUUAUUAAACUACAAUGGUAAUUAAACAGUAGUUUGCCAUGAUACAGUUCUUACCGUGUUUAUCGUACAUGUGAGCAAGAAAAUAUUUAAGAGCGUCAUAACACAACAUCAUAAUAGAAGCAAAAUUACAGAGCUAGCAAUUCCUGUCCUUCACUAAUUUAUCCAUGCAAAAUUACAGAGUUAGCAAUUCCUGUCCAUAAAUACAUGUAGCUGCAUGCCUCAAUCCACCCCGCACAACCUUAUAAAAGAUGUCCCUAAAAUACAAGCAAAAUUAUAGAGCUACCUAUAUAUUCCUGUCCAUAAAAUACGUCUAUGCGUCCAUCCACAUACUUCAUGGAGAAAUACACUGCAAUAUCUGCCGAGCCAUUCACAACACUAGAGUGAACGCUGUCACUAUGCUUUCAGAAUUCCUUUGCCCUAGUACACUUCAAGCCUAGGUUCAGGGGUGCUCAGUUUUUUCACGAACUUUCAGAAACAUUGCAUGCCAAUGCAUUAGUAAAACUGAACGAAAAUGACUCUUUGUACAACUUUGCGGCUGGCCGGCGUUCAACCAUACAAGCAAACGGGCUCUCCGAACAGACAGCAUGAUCACGAUGGUCGAUGGACCAUAAGAAAAUGAGAGCAUAAGUUGCCAUCACGAAGAGCGACCUCUGACUAAGUAACGCCCAAGUAUUCAUCGUUCUCAUUUCUCAUGGAGCAACACACAGGCUACAUCCAGGACAUGAAGCAAGCGGGCAGAUCAAACCAUUUCCCCAAAGAUCCUUGUAAUUUACACCAUGAUGUUACAAUUUGAACCACCCAUUAUGUGUGCAGUUCACCGCAGUUGCCUUGAUAUAUGGCUACAACUCGCAGCUAGCGAGCGCCAACGCCUCACUUGCCGGGGACAAAGUUUGUGGCAAACGCCCAUGCGUUGUUGUUGACAGGGUCGGAGAGGUGGUCAGCGAGGUUCUCGAGUGGGCCCUUGCCGGUGACGAUGGCCUGCACGAAGAAGCCAAACAUAGAGAACAUGGCGAGGCGACCGUUCUUGACUUCCUUCACCUUGAGCUCCGCGAAUGCCUCUGGAUCGUCAGCCAAGCCCAGUGGGUCGAAGCUGCCCCCGGGGUAGAG
Molecule: long non-coding RNA, 22880 nt
Filed under: Triticum aestivum (bread wheat)
Lineage: Eukaryota; Viridiplantae; Streptophyta; Magnoliopsida; Poales; Poaceae
Description: long non-coding RNA (TAES_LNC026082)
Source: RNAcentral